RNAcentral lists this ribosomal RNA (305 nucleotides) under uncultured bacterium. Its description in RNAcentral is "bacterial SSU rRNA". It matches the Rfam family "Bacterial small subunit ribosomal RNA", at positions 335 to 655 of the family's 1533-position model. The record is from RNAcentral.
GAGCCUACGGGAGGCAGCAGUGGGGAAUAUUGGGCAAUGGGCGCAAGCCUGACCCAGCAACGCCGCGUGAAGGAAGAAGGCUUUCGGGUUGUAAACUUCUUUUAAGAGGGAAGAGCAGAAGACGGUACCUCUUGAAUAAGCCACGGCUAACUACGUGCCAGCAGCCGCGGUAAUACGUAGGUGGCAAGCGUUGUCCGGAUUUACUGGGUGUAAAGGGCGUGCAGCCGGGAAGACAAGUCAGAUGUGAAAUCCCGCGGCUCAACCGCGGAACUGCAUUUGAAACUGCGUGGCUAGAGUGCAGGAGG